CCUACGGGAGGCAGCAGUGGGGAAUAUUGGGCAAUGGGCGCAAGCCUGACCCAGCAACGCCGCGUGAAGGAAGAAGGCUUUCGGGUUGUAAACUUCUUUUCUCAGGGACGAAGAAAGUGACGGUACCUGCGGAAUAAGCCACGGCUAACUACGUGCCAGCAGCCGCUGUAAUACGUAGGUGGCAAGCGUUAUCCGGAUUUGUUGGUUGUAAAGGGCGUGUAGGCGGGAGCGCAAGUCAGAUGUGAAAACGCAGGGCUCAACCCUGAGCCUGCAUUUGAAACUGUGUGUCUUGAGGGCUGGAGAGGCAAUCGGAAGUCCGGGUGUAGCGGUGAAAUGCGUAGAUAUACGGAGGAACACCAGUGGCGAAGGCGGAUUGCUGGACAGUAACUGACGCUGAGGCGCGAAAGCGUGGGGAGCAAACAGGAUUAGAUACCCCUGUAGUC
Molecule: ribosomal RNA, 443 nt
Filed under: uncultured bacterium
Lineage: Bacteria
Description: partial 16S ribosomal RNA
Rfam family: Bacterial small subunit ribosomal RNA
Source: RNAcentral